RNAcentral lists this non-coding RNA (29 nucleotides) under Mus musculus (house mouse). The record is from RNAcentral. Lineage: Eukaryota; Metazoa; Chordata; Mammalia; Rodentia; Muridae.
UAGGGAGUUAAUUAACUAUAUCUGCAACA